GCCAGACUGGGGGCACCUCUGGGCCUGCCUGUGGGUCUGGUUCCCUCACCCCAGGGCUCUCCUGGGAAAGCAGAGGUAAGAAGGGCCUGCCCAGAGUACUUUCGGGCAGCAAUGACUUCAGUGUUUGUCCCUAAAAUAAAUGCACCACAGACAAGACAGUGUGGUCAGGGGCUGAGGACUUACUGUAAAUACCAGCCCCGGGCUUCCUAUUUCUGUUUCUCUGACUCCCCGGGGGGCAGGCGCCGGCCAGCUCCUUUCUAGCGCAUCUCUUCUUACUGCUGCAUCCAAGGAAAGGGCUCGGCCUGGACAUUCCUCAUUGGAAGGUCCCAGGAACACUUUGAGGGUUUGGAGCAGGAACCCCGCUCUCCCAGGGGGGUUAUGCUCAGGGUCUGUCUUCCCCCAAGAAAGGGGCACAAAGCCUAAGUGUGAGGAGCUGUGCUGUGUAUAUUCUGAGAGCCUCACAACAAACCCCAAACAUGGGAGAGCAAACAAUGACAUCUACGAUGCAAGCAUAUGAUAGACACUUUCUUAAAGGCUGUACCUGGUUCAUCACAUACAGUUCUCACCAGAGUCAUAGGGUGGGAAUCAAGACAAGAAUGUAAAGAUCCUUGCCUAAGGGCACCCCGUCUGUAAACUGCAAGUUCAACGCCAGCAGCCUGGCUCCAGACCUGCAUUCUUAACUCCUGCACUGUGCAGUGAAGAUAAGAACGACCUCAUCCUGCAGACGGAGGCAAGCUGUCCAAAGAGAGGUAAGAUCAUUUAUCGAAGGACAUGGGCUGGGUGAGAGGGGUGGAUUUGCAUCAAAGUUCAGUGGACUCCAAAGGUCCUCCCACUGCGCUGGGGCACCUCCUAGAGGCGGUUGAGUAGCAUGUCAUGGAGCUGUUGUUCUGACCCCUUCCCAGCUUCUGAGCAGCUGACACCCUGGGCUGCAGCUGCUGCUCAUCUCCUAGGCUGAGGACGGGAUGGAUCAGCAUUCACAUGCACCUUCUUGAAGCCUUUCAGUGUGAAUGAGUUUGCUGUUUCCAAAGGGAGAUGUCUUUGGGGGCUUGCCCUGGUCGUGGUGUUUCCUGCCUCUAUGUUCCCUGAGGCUCCAAAGGUAUAUCUUGUUCAGCGUCCUGGGACUCCAGAGAAGAUAAGCUACAUUUGUCAAGUGAUUCUUGCCAGGAAAUCUCACAGCCGUCUCAGAGGCUGGCUGAUGCACCCAGGAGAUGGAUAUAUGUCUCAUCCUAUUCGGCACCUAUGCUGUAUAAAACUGUGAAGCCCCCAGGCCCUCUCCUUCCUAAGUGGGAGUGGUUGAGAGGGUCGCAGAUAGGGCGAGAAGAGCUAGGGGCCCGAGUGGACCACAUGGAACAAAAGUUGAAUGCUGAGUCAUUUCUUUCAAGCGAAUCUGCCGAGGCCAAGUGAGAGUCAUGAUACCUUUCUGUCCACCUGAGACACUGGAUGAGACACUAGGGUUGGAUGAUAGUAGGCUGCUUUUUGCAGAUAAUAAAGGUGGUCUCUCAUUUGGGUUGCCUCUUUGCCUUGGCUGCGAAGAUGCUCAUACCGCAUAUUUAUGCUGAAUUAUAACUUUUAUCAAAAAAGUUCUUGGAGUUCCCUGGUAGCUUAGAAGUUAAGGAUUCAGUGCUGUCACUGCUGUGGCUUGGGUUUGAUCCCUGGACUGGAAAUUCUGCAUGCUGUGGGCAUGCCCCUCCCCCAAAGAAGUUCUUGCAUAGUCUCCUCUGUUUGAAAACUUUUAUUUUUUUUUCUGAACUCUUAUUAUAAAUCAACUGGGAUUCAGAUAAAAUAUCGCACAAUUCUACUUAUAUGAGGGAUCUAAAAGAGUCCAAGUCAUAAAAGCAAAGAAUAGAAUGCUGUUUCCCAAGGGCUGAAAUGGGAAAAUUGCUGAUCAGAGAGUGCAAAAUUUUAUUUACGUAAGAUGAAUGCUAUCUAGAGAUUUGCUGUACAACAUUGUACUUGUAGUUAAUUACACAGUACACUUAAAAAUCUGUUAAGAGAGUAAAGUUUAUGGUAAGUGCUCUUGCCACAAAAAGUUUUAACAAAGGAAAAAUGUGACUAGUACAUUUAUUAGUGCUGAAUACCACACAGCAUAGGUCUCUAGUCACUAUUCCUUCAUUAUUUGUUGAUUGAAUUUCUCAAAGAUUUGGUGAGCACAUCCCAUACGCUAGGCUGCCAUUCUUGGUACUGGGAGACUUUGGGGAACAUGGCUAAGGUCCCGACUCAAUCUGCAGGGUGGAAGUCAAUCGCUAAACAUGUAAAUUUCGCACUUGCAGACAUAACGCACGCAUGCGCACUCUCACUCUCAGAGGGGCCAGCUGGUGUUACGUAUCCAGGAGGGGAAAAAAAGCAGUGUAGGGAAGCUGGAGAGUGGUCGGGUGGUGGGGCAGGGAGGUGGGGGUUUUGCUGUUUUCGUUGGGGUCACAGGGAACCUCUGGGAUGAGACCACGUGUGAGCAGAGACCAGAACAUACCAAUUACGGUCAUGUGAUGAUAAUGGGUAGAGGGAGCGCCAGCAGUGCCUGUAACCUUUACAACAGCCUGGGGAGUAUUAAUGGCAGUGGCUUUUAAAAAAUUUAUUUUCUUAAUAGAGAAGGAGUCUGCGGCCAAACUAGAAUGGAGACCCAGGUCCGUGUUAUUUCCACUAGAUUGAGGCACUGCAGUGGGUUCAUGUGAAAGGUUUAUGGCUAGACUUAGCCUGGCUUUGAAUUUCUGCUCCCCCCACUUCGCAGCUGGGUGAACUCGAGCAAGCUGUAACCUCUCUGGGCCAUAGUUUCCUCAUUUGUAAAAUGGAGAUAAAAACAGUCCCUACCUCAUUGGACUGUUUUGGUGAUGAAGUGGCUGAUUCUGUGUCUGGCAUGGGGUUGGGACCCAGUGAAUGUGAGCAGUUGAUUGUUACCUACCUACCAUCCUUUAAAGGAGAUGAGAGGGAGUUCCCAUUGUGGAUCAGCAGGUUACAAACUCAACUAGUAUCAGUGAAGAUGUGGGUUAGAUCCCUGGUCUCUCUCAGUGGGUUAAGGAUCUGGUGUUAUGUAGCUCACAGAGGUGGCUCAGACCUGGCGUUGCUGUGGCUGUUGUGUAGGCAGGCUACAGCUCCAAUUCGACCCCUAACCUGGGAACUUCUGUAUGCUGCAGGUGUGGUCCUUAAAAGAGGAAAAAAAAAAAAAGAUGAGAGACAGAUCCUGAAAAGUCAGCCAAUGGACGAAAGUGAGGAGAACUUGCUGUGGGUAAUGCCCUGACCUCCAUCCCUGCCAUGGGCUCAGGAAGAUUUAUUUUGCAGCAGCCAAGGGCCUAUCUUGUGUGCUGGGACAACGAGCCUGGAGAUGGGGGCUGGACAUGCUUUUCCAUCUCCUUUGAAUCUCCAUAUGGGCAUUGAUGGCUGCCCCUGUCCCUGAGCAUUUGGAGGUGGCCUGAGGGGGACCCUGGAGUUGUCCAAUGAAGGCUGGGCAGAGGGAGGGGGAUUUGCCCAAAGAACAAUGUAGCAACUGACUUUUCCUAAAAACUGCUAGUGAAAACCUCUGUCCUGCCCUCUCCCAGCCAGCACCUUCUAUCAAGAAUCCCAAGGGAAGGAAAGGGACAGGGAAGACAGAGCCAAUCAGACCGAUGCCUAAUGGUGUUUGGCUUUGUCCUCGAAUGGCUCUGCAGGUCCCCUGUGAGCCUGUGUGUAGGAAAUGAUCUUUGCUCCAAAUAAAGACUUCAGUGGCUUCUUUUUCUGCUGAAUUUGAGGCUCAUUCUCAGACGUCAGUGCUUUACUGUGAGAACAAGCUACAACCUCCAGCAAAAAGGAAGAGACAGUGGAAGAGGCAGCCCAUGGGCCCAGUGUAGCAGCAGGUAGGGUGACUGACUCAGGUUCCCCUAGGACUUGGCUGGUUUUUGUUCUUAAAGUCCCCAGAUCUCCUUGGAAGCAGUGCUGAUCCUCUGAACGACCCUUGUGUCUUUUGAAAACCAUGCUGACAGCCCAGCCUCACUCCAAGCUCAUGCCUCCAAACCCUCAGGAGCAGGAUCCAGGGAUCUGAAUUUUUUACAAGUUGCCCUGGAGGGAGCCAGUCUGUUGUCAGGCAAGGCGAUGGGAGAGAGCAGUCCCUGGGCCCCCUGCCCAUCACUGUGAGUGUCGUGUCCUGUCCAGAAGAAGUGGUCUAAACGUAUCCCUACGAUGGGCUUUCUUAGGGGAGGAAAGGUGGAGGAGGGGUGGGAAGAAGCUCUCACUCCUGUUCGGAGACCCAGAACUGGUUGGGGGUGGAGGUGUGGGUGAGGGUGGCCUGUUGAGCCCAUGUUGCCAGAUAACAUUUAAGAUUUUCUUUUCACCCUGUAUGGGCAUCUGCAGCUUUCUACAAGGGGCUUCCUUUGAUAGAAGCUUCAAGAACUGGAAAGGCUGAUUUGGAGUUCAUUCAUUCAUGCAUUUGUUCACAUGUUCCAUGUUCAUCAGGCAUUUAUCGGACACAUGUUAUGUACCAGUGUUGUUCCCAGUUCCAGGAACCCAUGGUGACCUAGGCUGACGGGGUCCCUGGGUCCCUCCAUGGUGGAAUUUUUGAUUCCAGCAGGGUCUGUAAAGCAACAGAGAGAUCAAAAAGGGCAGCCAGCACCUGAUGUUUGAACGUUUUCCAUGGGCUCCUCUCCAGAUCCUCUCUCCACCCUUCCUCACCCUGCUCUGUGCUCUAGGAGGCUGCCUGGUCACCCGCUGGAGCGUCCUUCAACCGCUGGCUUCUGCCUGGAUAGGCGAGGGGGAGGCACAGUGAUCGGAAGAAGUGGGAGGGAAGUUGGGGAAAUUGAUGCCCUGACUUCCUCCUUGCAGAGUCUCUGAGGGCGGGGGCUGCCUCCCUCCAGCAAGACGCCCACCAGUGGUCCUCUCCUUCCUUGUGGGCCUGGGGAGGUAAAGCCUCCUCAGCAAUACCAGCCCCUGGAGGCUGCACCGGCUCUUCUGGGUCUCGAUCCUUCUCUCGCUCCUAUGAAUACCCCUUUAAUAAACUGUCUUCAGUUACUGCCUGGAGUGUACCAUCUUUUUCCUUCCAGGACCCUCACUGCAGCAGUCCUAAAGUGCAUCCACAUUCCAGAAAAUAACAACUCAAUUCUCCAGACAAGUGUGCUCAUCUUAUUUUUAAAGAGACACCCACGUCACUGCUAAAGGAACAUCUAAUUUAUGAUUGUAUCUGUGAGCUCAGUUUUAUAAAACAAUGCGUUGACCAUUAAGAAAUGGAAAUGGCUAACAGACUGGAAAAAUCAUCUUCACUGGAAUAAAAUAAGUGACAAGUCAUUGAAAAGUGAGACCUUAUUUUUACCCUCUCAGACAAACCCUGUGAUGGAGGUCUAAGUGGGUCACUUAAGGGACUGUUAUCAAAAGCCUUAGCAUUUUUAUUCUUAUGCAUCAAGCAAUUCUUUGGUUGAGCGUGUCCACUUAAGGAAACAUUCAAAAACAAAGGUUUUAUGGACAGAGAGGUUCAUCACAGUUUUAGUUAAUACUAAAAAAAUAUAGAAAAUAGAAAUAUUCUGUAAAAGAAGGUUGGUUAAAGAAAUGAUGUUAUGUCCAGGAGGGAAGUGGUUAAGUGUAUAGACUUAGACAAAACCUCCUCUGGUUACACCUUCUGUCACAGUGCUAAGUGCUUUGUGUGUCUUGAGCCAUCCAGUCCUCCCAACGGAAGCCGUGGGAGGCAGGAGCAUGGGGGAAAGUGCUCAAUGAAUGAUCAAUUAUGCCUUGUGAAAUAAGUCGGGCAGGGAAAGACAAACACCAUAUGACAUCCCUUGUAUGUGGAAUCCAAAAAAAAAAAAAAAA
This 5760-nucleotide long non-coding RNA is filed under the name Sus scrofa (pig). RNAcentral describes it as "lncRNA (ENSSSCG00015054433.1)". Lineage: Eukaryota; Metazoa; Chordata; Mammalia; Artiodactyla; Suidae. The record is from RNAcentral.